UUUAACUUCGCAGUGGUGAUGCGGACGGUAAACGUUUACAGUUGUGCCAACAGCAGGACUCUCCAUGCAGUGACGAGGUCCACGUCGCUGCGAUCAACGACAAGCAUGACAGAGCUCCGGAACAGCAUGCGAUGGAAACACCAUGGACAUGAGUAGUACCCAUUGUAUUGAACCAUGUUCAACAUCCCAGCACGUGCAGGUGGAUCGGCGACACAUGUUAUACAGUAUACCUGAAAUGUAUGCUAAACAGUAAGGUGAG
Long non-coding RNA from Ornithodoros turicata, 259 nucleotides. RefSeq lists it as uncharacterized. The transcript is spliced from 3 exons. NCBI's taxonomy places the organism in Eukaryota, Metazoa, Arthropoda, Arachnida, Ixodida, Argasidae. The record is from RefSeq and is a predicted model, not a curated record.